This 253-nucleotide ribosomal RNA is filed under the name uncultured bacterium. RNAcentral describes it as "partial 16S ribosomal RNA". It matches the Rfam family "Bacterial small subunit ribosomal RNA", at positions 524 to 776 of the family's 1533-position model. The record is from RNAcentral.
UACGUAGGUGGCAAGCGUUGUCCGGAUUUACUGGGUGUAAAGGGCGUGCAGCCGGGCUGACAAGUCAGAUGUGAAAUCCCGCGGCUCAACCGCGGAACUGCAUUUGAAACUGUCAGUCUUGAGUACCGGAGAGGUCAUCGGAAUUCCUUGUGUAGCGGUGGAAUGCGUAGAUAUAAGGAAGAACACCAGUGGCGAAGGCGGAUGGCUGGACGGCAACUGACGGUGAGGCGCGAAAGCGUGGGGAGCAAACAGG